RNAcentral lists this ribosomal RNA (506 nucleotides) under uncultured bacterium. Its description in RNAcentral is "partial 16S ribosomal RNA". It matches the Rfam family "Bacterial small subunit ribosomal RNA", at positions 29 to 523 of the family's 1533-position model. The record is from RNAcentral.
AGUGAACGCUGGCGGUAGGCCUAACACAUGCAAGUCGAACGGCAGCACAGGAGAGCUUGCUCUCUGGGUGGCGAGUGGCGGACGGGUGAGGAAUACAUCGGAAUCUACUCUGUCGUGGGGGAUAACGUAGGGAAACUUACGCUAAUACCGCAUACGACCUACGGGUGAAAGCAGGGGACCUUCGGGCCUUGCGCGAUUGAAUGAGCCGAUGUCGGAUUAGCUAGUUGGCGGGGUAAAGGCCCACCAAGGCGACGAUCCGUAGCUGGUCUGAAAGGAUGAUCAGCCACACUGGAACUGAGAAACGGUCCAGACUCCUACGGGAGUCAGCAGUGGGGAAUAUUGGACAAUGGGCGCAAGCCUGAUCCAGCCAUACCGCGUGGGUGAAGAAGGCCUUCGGGUUGUAAAGCCCUUUUGUUGGGAAAGAAAUCCAGCUGGCUAAUACCCGGUUGGGAUGACGGUACCCAAAGAAUAAGCACCGGCUAACUUCGUGCCAGCAGCCGCCGUAA